This 478-nucleotide ribosomal RNA is filed under the name Streptococcus parasanguinis. RNAcentral describes it as "bacterial SSU rRNA". It matches the Rfam family "Bacterial small subunit ribosomal RNA", at positions 28 to 490 of the family's 1533-position model. Lineage: Bacteria; Bacillati; Bacillota; Bacilli; Lactobacillales; Streptococcaceae. The record is from RNAcentral.
GAUGAACGCUGGCGGCGUGCCUAAUACAUGCAAGUAGAACGCUGAAGCUUGGUGCUUGCACCGAGCGGAUGAGUUGCGAACGGGUGAGCAACGCGUAGGUAACCUGCCUCUUAGCGGGGGAUAACUAUUGGAAACGAUAGCUAAUACCGCAUAAAAGUCGAUAUCGCAUGAUAUUGAUUUGAAAGGUGCAAUUGCAUCACUAAGAGAUGGACCUGCGUUGUAUUAGCUAGUUGGUGAGGUAACGGCUCACCAAGGCGACGAUACAUAGCCGACCUGAGAGGGUGAUCGGCCACACUGGGACUGAGACACGGCCCAGACUCCUACGGGAGGCAGCAGUAGGGAAUCUUCGGCAAUGGGGGCAACCCUGACCGAGCAACGCCGCGUGAGUGAAGAAGGUUUUCGGAUCGUAAAGCUCUGUUGUAAGAGAAGAACGAGUGUGAGAGUGGAAAGUUCACACUGUGACGGAACUACCAGAAAG